This 1549-nucleotide unclassified non-coding RNA is filed under the name Orussus abietinus. RNAcentral's name for it is "e3 ubiquitin-protein ligase RNF146, transcript variant X1". The record is from RNAcentral. Lineage: Eukaryota; Metazoa; Arthropoda; Insecta; Hymenoptera; Orussidae.
CUUCGAGCGAGGUUGGCCAUUCUGAUCGGGAGGACGCAUCUUUACGCAUGUGGUGUUUACUGCUAGCAUCCAGCCUCGACAUUGUAUCUGUUUAUUUGCUUUUAUGACAAUUAGUCAUGGCUCAGGAAAAGCUCACCAUACCAGAUAAGUCGAAUGCAGCAAUAAAGGAUAAAGAAAAAGACGCCGAAGAAAAAGAAGCCUCUACGUCGUUGCUGGAAUGUGCCGUCUGCCUGCAACCAUGUAUUCAUCCCGCUCGACUACCGUGUAGUCACAUAUUCUGUUACUUGUGUGUCAAGGGGGUCGCUAAUCAAAGCAAAAAAUGUCCCAUGUGUCGACAAGAAAUUCCUCCAGAUUUUCUUGAAAGACCACAGCUAGUAGAGCUCGACGAGGCACAAAAGGUCACGGAAUGUUUGGAAGAAGAAUACCAAUGGUUCUAUGAAGGCAAAAACGGUUGGUGGCAAUACGACCAGCGUACAAGUCUUGAACUGGAGACUGCAUAUAAGCAAGGUAAAAGGACUUGCGAACUGUUAAUCGCUGGCUUCCUUUACAUAGCCGAUUUCGGAUCCAUGCUCCAAUUACGUCGAAACGAUCCAUCUAGACGCCGAAGAAUUAAACGUGAUUUGUAUAACGUUCCAAAGAAAGGUGUUGCAGGAUUAAGGUUGAAUCCUCAGGAAGAAGAACAAAUUGUCAGAGAAAUAAGAGGAGCGGAAAGACCUGCUAGUCCUGCCAGCGACAAUAUGGGAACAGGAGAUGGUACGAAUACACCGGUACCACCAAGUAAUACUCCACAGACCCCGGCAGGAGGUACAGCGAGUGGUGAUGCCACCCCUUUGACUGACAGGUCAGAUCAGAGGUCCGAUUCGUUUCAUCAGGCACUUGAACAAAUGCGAUCUCUGGUUAGGAGAGAACACCUUUCCUUUGGUAGUGACAACGAACUCGAAGAAGCCCCUGAGAACGAGACCCUCUCAGACCAUACUUCCUUACCAUGGUUGCGAUCUUCCAAUGCUGUAUACUCAUCGGACGAAGACAAUCCAUGAAGGAAACACAUGCCGAGCAUUAACUGUUCGGUCUCUAACAACGGAAUACAGGAAAGAAAUACCCUGUCCGAAGGCCAGAGGAUAUUUAUAUUUUAGAACGUACGUUAACACCAUGUUCGAUUCUACGUAGUUCUCACUUCAAUAUCUCAACGGUUUCUCGAAGAAGUAAAGCUCCGAUGGAUGGGAGACGUUGUCGCUUUAUUCUCUUUGAAGGUAAAGACGGUCCUCCAUUAUUAUACCUUGAUUUUUCACGCUACUUUUGGCAAGGUGUACUUAUCCGAAGAGCAUGCGAGUGCAACGGUUCAGGUGGUUAUCUCGUGUGAAAUUGUGCAAGUUCUUAUUGAACUGUAAUCAUGGAAUUAUAAAUUUCACUAUGUUCAAAUGGUGAAGAAGAAAUGGCAGGAAAUUAGGAUUACGCAUGUGUUCGUGUUGAUUAAUUUGAUUGAAGUAAACUGCUCGAUUCAAUCUGUGUUCUUGUAAAUAAGUAAUAAAAGAUUUAGAUAUAUAAUAUA